This 371-nucleotide long non-coding RNA is filed under the name Equus asinus (donkey). Its description in RNAcentral is "lncRNA (ENSEASG00005026582.1)". Lineage: Eukaryota; Metazoa; Chordata; Mammalia; Perissodactyla; Equidae. The record is from RNAcentral.
CAAGACAUAAACCUUAUUUCCAUUCACCUAUCCUUACCCGGCAUUAGUCAUAUGAUCUCAAACUAACUAUCCAUGCAGCUGCACAAUGAAGAAAUUCUGUUUUGCCUUUCGCUUUGCAAAUACCUCACUUUUUCCAGAUGGAGAAAACAAGCUUCAUGAAAGAAAACCAGAACAUGUCCUGGAGAUUGCUUCCACCAGGAUGGAGGUUGUUCUUUGAAGAUCCCAUGGAGAAGCACAUCCAUUCCGAUGACUUGGGACCACCUGUGAACUCUCGCAGCCAGGGUAACAGAGAAUCUGCUGAGGUCCACAUAUGUGCCGGGAGAAUCUACUCCACAGUAUAAGCAUCACAUAUCAUCCUAAAUUGUCAAUUC